This 475-nucleotide ribosomal RNA is filed under the name uncultured organism. RNAcentral describes it as "partial 16S ribosomal RNA". It matches the Rfam family "Bacterial small subunit ribosomal RNA", at positions 331 to 797 of the family's 1533-position model. The record is from RNAcentral.
GUACACUCCUGCGGGAGGCAGCAGUGGGGAAUUUUGGACAAUGGGCGAAAGCCUGAUCCAGCAAUGCCGCGUGAGUGAAGAAGGCCUUCGGGUUGUAAAGCUCUUUUGUCAGGGAAGAAACGGUGAAAGCUAAUAUCUUUUGCUAAUGACGGUACCUGAAGAAUAAGCACCGGCUAACUACGUGCCAGCAGCCGCGGUAAUACGUAGGGUGCAAGCGUUAAUCGGAAUUACUGGGCGUAAAGCGUGCGCAGGCGGUUUUGUAAGUCUGAUGUGAAAUCCCCGGGCUCAACCUGGGAAUUGCAUUGGAGACUGCAAGGCUAGAAUCUGGCAGAGGGGGGUAGAAUUCCACGUGUAGCAGUGAAAUGCGUAGAUAUGUGGAGGAACACCGAUGGCGAAGGCAGCCCCCUGGGUCAAGAUUGACGCUCAUGCACGAAAGCGUGGGGAGCAAACAGGAUUAGAAACCCUAGUAGUCCCA